AAACAAGUGCUUGAAGGCAGUAUGCUUGGUAAAAGUCAUCGCCAUUCUCUAAUCUUGAGUACCCAGGGACACGAUACACUGCGGAAGGCUGCAGGGACCUCUGCCCAGGAAAGCCAGGAGCCAGAAAAACUUCAUCUCUUUUACAAGAAACAUUGAGAUUCCUGUAAAAUUAAGAAAUCACACAAUUUGAUGGUCUACAUUAUCUAAAGCAAAUGAGACUUCUAUUUGGAACAAAGACUACCUUGUUGGGAAAUGAGUCUGCAAGUUAAAGUGUUUUCUGUUUUCUAAGGAUAAUGGUCUCCAGCUUCGUCAAUGUUCCUGCAAAGGACAUGAUGCUGACUUUGAAGAUGCAAGCUUCCACAUCUACAGCCUCAAGGAAACAAAUUCAGCCAACCAACUGAGGGAGCUUUCCUUGUCCUGCCUCAAGAUGAGAUCACAGUCUGCCCAACACCAUGAUUUAGGCCUUGUGACACCUGAGCUCAGAUGGAAAAGAAUGGUGUUACUGAGACCCUUCAAGAUUCCCAGUGUAAUUCAAUAAAGAAAAGGCAACACAAAGGGGUUGUAUAGAAUUCGCCACAUUAUGGACCCAUGUCAUAGAGAGAAUCCACGGUGCAUUUGUUAGCUGCAUUUAAAUGACAACACUUUCAGAUCCAAGAUUUAUUUGGGAUAAAAAUUUACCUGGAUGCAAGGCUAUUCAGAAUGAAGAUUAAUGAUAUGGUUUGGCUGUGUCCCCACCCAAACUUCAUCUUGAAUUCCCACGUGUUGUGAGAGGGACCUGGUGGGAGAUAAUUGAACCAUGGGGGCAGGUCUUUCUCAUGCUGUUCUCAUGAGAGUGAAUAAGUCUCAUGAAACCUGAUGGUUUUAUAAGGGGGAAUUUCCCUGCACAAGCUCUCUCUCUGCCUUUUGCCAUCCAUGUAAGACGUGACUUGGUCCUCCUUGCCUUCUACCAUGAUUAUGAGGCCUCCCCAGCCACGUGGAACUGUGAGUCCAUUAAACCUCUUUCUUU
RNAcentral lists this long non-coding RNA (1006 nucleotides) under Homo sapiens (human). RNAcentral's name for it is "HIF1A stabilizing long noncoding RNA". Lineage: Eukaryota; Metazoa; Chordata; Mammalia; Primates; Hominidae. The record is from RNAcentral.